RNAcentral lists this ribosomal RNA (451 nucleotides) under uncultured bacterium. RNAcentral describes it as "bacterial SSU rRNA". It matches the Rfam family "Bacterial small subunit ribosomal RNA", at positions 354 to 796 of the family's 1533-position model. The record is from RNAcentral.
GUGGGGAAUAUUGGGCAAUGGGCGGAAGCCUGACCCAGCCACGCCGCGUGAGUGAUGAAGGCCUUCGGGUCGUAAAGCUCUGUGGGGAGGGACGAAUAAGUCUGGUGUUAAUAACACCGGGCCCUGACGGUACCUCCUUAGCAAGCACCGGCUAACCCUGUGCCAGCAGCCGCGGUAAUACAGGGGGUGCAAACGUUGCUCGGAAUCAUUGGGCGUAAAGCGCACGUAGGCGGUUCGUUAUGUCGGAUGUGAAAGCCCUUGGCUUAACCGAGGAAGUGCAUCCGAAACUGGCGAGCUAGAGUACUAAAGAGGAUCGCGGAAUUCCCGGUGUAGAGGUGAAAUUCGUAGAUAUCGGGAGGAACACCGGUGGCGAAGGCGGCGAUCUGGGUAGAUACUGACGCUGAGGUGCGAAAGCGUGGGGAGCAAACAGGAUUAGAUACCCUUGUAGUCC